UAAGAGUACUAUAAUUAGAUG
RNAcentral lists this non-coding RNA (21 nucleotides) under Caenorhabditis elegans. Lineage: Eukaryota; Metazoa; Nematoda; Chromadorea; Rhabditida; Rhabditidae. The record is from RNAcentral.